Molecule: ribosomal RNA, 537 nt
Filed under: Triticum aestivum (bread wheat)
Lineage: Eukaryota; Viridiplantae; Streptophyta; Magnoliopsida; Poales; Poaceae
Description: partial small subunit ribosomal RNA
Source: RNAcentral
AUGAUCCAUCAUGACAAGAUUAUUUCUAACAAUCACCUCCCUAAUCUUGUCAUCCUAACUCGCCAAUCGUCGAUGUGGAUCACCCGCAGCAUCUUGGCGUGGACGACGAUGUCGCAGUGCCAAUCACCACUAACCAUCUUGCCAUGGCCGACGCCAUCACAAUGCCCGCCACUGCACCAACUUGCCGCACGUGGCUAUCCUCCUCUUAACUUGGACAGCUCCAUUGCGGCGCCGAUCACCACACCAUCAUCACCUCACGUCAUCGCACCGCAGCGUCCCACCGGCGGCAUUGCGCUGCCGCCGGCCAUCACCUUGCGCCGAUGUCCUCCACCUCACAUGGAGUCCACUGCGUCACCGCCGUCGCAGCCAUUGCCUCCGCCCACCGCCACGCCGGCCACAGCCGCCGGCACUGUUGUCGCCGCCACGGAUCAACAAGGCUCUGAUGCCAAUUGUUGGCGCCGCCUCUUCUCGCAGCGCCGCCACGCCGGCCACAGCCGCCGGCACUGUUGUCGCCGCCACGGAUCAACAAGGCUCUGA